CAAAGACCCCCCUCUCAGUUUGGCAUGGACUAUACAGAAGGACACCGAAUUCACAACGAGCAACAAUGUGUUUGUAGGCAUAAUUUAAAGAGGUGUGCGACAAAACUGCCUACCACGCAGCCAUAACUGAACACGACAUGCAGCUCAUCAAACAAUCCAAGGCCCUGUACACUGAAACACCUGAAGACGAGAACGGCCUAGAGUAUGCGACUCUCUAGUUCAUCGAACACACAAAAACCACAAGGACCCGCAGGAGAAGAACAGGGAGAGUGGACGGGGAUGUUUGAACUCCCGGGUGAUUCCCUCUGCCCGGUAGCUUCCCUUAAGAAGUAUCUGUCCUUCCUUCCCUCCGACGCCUCGGCGUUGUACCUCCACCUGAAACGGAAUGCAGUUAAUGGAUACAUAUGGUACACAAAAGGGCCGAUUGGAGAGUACACCCUUGCAACAAUGUUGCCAAAUAUCAGCAAAAUAGCUGGGACGUCGCUGAUUUAGACAAACCAGUAACUCCGGACCACCAUGAUCCAGAAACUGUCGGAUGCCGGACUAGAGGGACGAGAAAUAAUGUCUGUCAGUGGACACAGAUCCAAAACGUCUCUUCAAAGUUACUGGAGGCCAAAUCUGAAAUCAAAGAAGCGGUGGAGCACUAUUCUAUCUGACAAUACAGCAGCAGCAGCAGCUACCCCAGCUAAAAUAAUGGCUUCCAUUUCCAACUAACGACAACAUGGGCAAGUGCACAAUAAAUGGCAACAUUCAAAUCAACAUGAAUAAAUAAUUGGUGUGUGUUAGUCACUGUUGAAGUGACGCUAAUGCUAGGUUUUUGAAUACAUUUAAUGUAGCUUGCCUGUGGUUAUGCUGCAUAGCAACCAGUCUAGCAACACGACUUUUGUCCGGACUGCUCUUUACAUUUUUUACAUUUUUUUACAUUUUAGUCAUUUAGCAGACGCUCUUUCUGGCAGAAUGUAUUCAUGAAUUUAUUUAUUA
Salmo salar (Atlantic salmon) is the source of this 981-nucleotide long non-coding RNA. RefSeq lists it as uncharacterized. The record is from RefSeq and is a predicted model, not a curated record. NCBI's taxonomy places the organism in Eukaryota, Metazoa, Chordata, Actinopteri, Salmoniformes, Salmonidae.